GGACGGUUAGUGUAGUGGUUAUCAUCCUUGCCUUCCAAGCAGGGGACGGGUGUUCGAUUCCCCCACCGUUCA
This is a transfer RNA of Nadsonia fulvescens var. elongata DSM 6958, 72 nucleotides long. It matches the Rfam family "tRNA". From Rfam's summary of the family: Transfer RNA (tRNA) molecules are approximately 80 nucleotides in length. Their secondary structure includes four short double-helical elements and three loops (D, anti-codon, and T loops). Further hydrogen bonds mediate the characteristic L-shaped molecular structure. tRNAs have two regions of fundamental functional importance: the anti-codon, which is responsible for specific mRNA codon recognition, and the 3' end, to which the tRNAs corresponding amino acid is attached (by aminoacyl-tRNA synthetases). tRNAs cope with the degeneracy of the genetic code in two manners: having more than one tRNA (with a specific anti-codon) for a particular amino acid; and 'wobble' base-pairing, i.e. permitting non-standard base-pairing at the 3rd anti-codon position. NCBI's taxonomy places the organism in Eukaryota, Fungi, Ascomycota, Dipodascomycetes, Dipodascales. The record is from Rfam.